UGAGUAAUGUAUAGGAAUCUACCUAGUAGUACGGAAUAAUUGUUGGAAACGGCAACUAAUACCGUAUACGCCCUACGGGGGAAAGAUUUAUCGCUAUUAGAUGAGCCUAUAUUAGAUUAGCUAGUUGGUGAGGUAAAGGCUUACCAAGACAAUGAUCUAUAGCUGAUCUGAGAGGAUGAUCAGUCACACUGGAACUGAGAUACGGUCCAGACUCCUACGGGAGGCAGCAGUGGGGAAUAUUGGACAAUGGGCGAAAGCCUGAUCCAGCCAUGCCGCAUGAGUGAAGAAGGCCUUUGGGUUGUAAAGCUCUUUCGGUGAGGAAGAUAAUGACGGUACUCACAGAAGAAGUCCUGGCUAACUCCGUGCCAGCAGCCGCGGUAAUACGGAGAGGGCUAGCGUUAUUCGGAAUUAUUGGGCGUAAAGAGCGCGUAGGCUGGUUAGUAAGUUAAAAGUGAAAUCCCAAAGCUCAACUUUGGAAUUGCUUUUAAAACUGCUAACCUAGAGAUUGAAAGAGGAUAGAGGAAUUCCUAGUGUAGAGGUGAAAUUCGUAAAUAUUA
RNAcentral lists this ribosomal RNA (557 nucleotides) under uncultured Wolbachia sp. Its description in RNAcentral is "bacterial SSU rRNA". It matches the Rfam family "Bacterial small subunit ribosomal RNA", at positions 107 to 699 of the family's 1533-position model. Lineage: Bacteria; Pseudomonadati; Pseudomonadota; Alphaproteobacteria; Rickettsiales; Anaplasmataceae. The record is from RNAcentral.